Molecule: non-coding RNA, 48 nt
Filed under: Trichobilharzia regenti
Lineage: Eukaryota; Metazoa; Platyhelminthes; Trematoda; Strigeidida; Schistosomatidae
Source: RNAcentral
GUCCAGAUGACGAGUCCCAAAUAGGACGAAGUGGGCGUUGCCCUGGAU